UCCGAGUUGUCCCCGGCAGUCUCAUUAGAGUGCCCAACUAAAUGAUGGCAACUAAUGACAAGGGUUGCGCUCGUUGCGGGACUUAACCCAACAUCUCACGACACGAGCUGACGACAGCCAUGCAGCACCUGUGUUACGGCUCCCGAAGGCACUCCCGCAUCUCUGCAGGAUUCCGUACAUGUCAAGGGUAGGUAAGGUUUUUCGCGUUGCAUCGAAUUAAUCCACAUCAUCCACCGCUUGUGCGGGUCCCCGUCAAUUCCUUUGAGUUUUAACCUUGCGGCCGUACUCCCCAGGCGGUCAACUUCUCGCGUUAGCUUCGUUACUGAGGAAUCACUUCCCCAACAACCAGUUGACAUCGUUUAGGGCGUGGACUAC
RNAcentral lists this unclassified non-coding RNA (375 nucleotides) under uncultured Gammaproteobacteria bacterium. RNAcentral's name for it is "contains 16S-23S intergenic spacer region". Lineage: Bacteria; Pseudomonadati; Pseudomonadota; Gammaproteobacteria. The record is from RNAcentral.